RNAcentral lists this ribosomal RNA (483 nucleotides) under uncultured bacterium. RNAcentral describes it as "partial 16S ribosomal RNA". It matches the Rfam family "Bacterial small subunit ribosomal RNA", at positions 30 to 507 of the family's 1533-position model. The record is from RNAcentral.
UUGCACGCUGGCGGCAGGCCUAACCCAUGCCAGUCGAGCGGAUGAAGGGAGCUUGCUCCUGGAUUCAGCGGCGGACGGGUGAGUAAUGCCUAGGAAUCUGCCUGGUAGUGGGGGAUAACGUCCGGAAACGGGCGCUAAUACCGCAUACGUCCUGAGGGAGAAAGUGGGGGAUCUUCGGACCUCACGCUAUCAGAUGAGCCUAGGUCGGAUUAGCUAGUUGGUGGGGUAAAGGCCUACCAAGGCGACGAUCCGUAACUGGUCUGAGAGGAUGAUCAGUCACACUGGAACUGAGACACGGUCCAGACUCCUACGGGAGGCAGCAGUGGGGAAUAUUGGACAAUGGGCGAAAGCCUGAUCCAGCCAUGCCGCGUGUGUGAAGAAGGUCUUCGGAUUGUAAAGCACUUUAAGUUGGGAGGAAGGGCAGUAAGUUAAUACCUUGCUGUUUUGACGUUACCAACAGAAUAAGCACCGGCUAACUUCGUG